RNAcentral lists this ribosomal RNA (292 nucleotides) under uncultured bacterium. RNAcentral's name for it is "partial 16S ribosomal RNA". It matches the Rfam family "Bacterial small subunit ribosomal RNA", at positions 505 to 796 of the family's 1533-position model. The record is from RNAcentral.
GUGCCAGCAGCCGCGGUAAUACGUAGGGGGCGAGCGUUGUCCGGAGUUACUGGGCGUAAAGCGCACGCAGGCGGUUUCGUACGUCUGGAGUGACAGUUCCCGGCUCAACUGGGAAAGGUCUUUGGAAACGGCGAGACUUGAGGGCUUCAGAGGGACACGGAAUUCCGGGUGGAGUGGUGAAAUGCGUAGAGAUCCGGAGGAACACCAAUGGCGAAGGCAGUGUCCUGGGAAGCAUCUGACGCUCAGGUGCGAAAGCUAGGGGAGCGAACAGGAUUAGAAACCCGGGUAGUCC